This 800-nucleotide ribosomal RNA is filed under the name uncultured bacterium. RNAcentral's name for it is "bacterial SSU rRNA". It matches the Rfam family "Bacterial small subunit ribosomal RNA", at positions 1 to 796 of the family's 1533-position model. The record is from RNAcentral.
AGAUAGAGUUUGAUCCUGGCUCAGAACGAACGCUGGCGGCGCGCCUAAUACAUGCAAGUCGAGCGAGAAGACGUAGCAAUACGUUUGUAAAGCGGCGAACGGGUGAGGAAUACAUGGGUAACCUACCCUCGAGUGGGGAAUAACUAGCCGAAAGGUUAGCUAAUACCGCAUACGAUUCCCGGACUUCGGUUCGGGAGGGAAAGCGAUACCGUGGGUAUCGCGCUCUUGGAUGGGCUCAUGUCCUAUCAGCUUGUUGGUGAGGUAAUGGCUCACCAAGGCUUCGACGGGUAGCUGGUCUGAGAGGACGAUCAGCCACACUGGCACUGCGACACGGGCCAGACUCCUACGGGAGGCAGCAGUAAGGAAUAUUGCGCAAUGGACGAAAGUCUGACGCAGCGACGCCGCGUGGGGGAUGAAGGUCUUCGGAUUGUAAACCCCUUUCGGGAGGGAAGAUGGAAUGGGGUAACCCAUUUGGACGGUACCUCCAGAAGCAGCCACGGCUAACUUCGUGCCAGCAGCCGCGGUAAUACGAAGGUGGCAAGCGUUGUUCGGAUUCACUGGGCGUACAGGGAGCGUAGGCGGUUGGGUAAGCCCUCCGUGAAAUCUCCGGGCCUAACCCGGAAAGUGCAGAGGGGACUGCUCAGCUAGAGGAUGGGAGAGGAGCGCGGAAUUCCCGGUGUAGCGGUGAAAUGCGUAGAGAUCGGGAGGAAGGCCGGUGGCGAAGGCGGCGCUCUGGAACAUUUCUGACGCUGAGGCUCGAAAGCGUGGGGAGCAAACAGGAUUAGAUACCCUGGUAGUCC